RNAcentral lists this ribosomal RNA (497 nucleotides) under uncultured bacterium. Its description in RNAcentral is "partial 16S ribosomal RNA". It matches the Rfam family "Bacterial small subunit ribosomal RNA", at positions 28 to 507 of the family's 1533-position model. The record is from RNAcentral.
GAUGAACGCUGGCGGCGUGCCUAAUACAUGCAAGUCGAGCGAACAGAUGAGGAGCUUGCUCCUCUGACGUUAGCGGCGGACGGGUGAGUAACACGUGGAUAACCUACCUAUAAGACUGGGAUAACUUCGGGAAACCGGAGCUAAUACCGGAUCAUAUAUUGAACCGCAUGGUUCAAUAGUGAAAGACGGUUUUGCUGUCACUUAUAGAUGGAUCCGCGCCGCAUUAGCUAGUUGGUAAGGUAACGGCUUACCAAGGCAACGAUGCGUAGCCGACCUGAGAGGGUGAUCGGCCACACUGGAACUGAGACACGGUCCAGACUCCUACGGGAGGCAGCAGUAGGGAAUCUUCCGCAAUGGGCGAAAGCUUGACGGAGCAACGCCGCGUGAGUGAUGAAGGUCUUCGGAUCGUAAAACUCUGUUAUUAGGGAAGAACAAAUGUGUAAGUAACUAUGCACGUCUUGACGGUACCUAAUCAGAAAGCCACGGCUAACUACGUG